This is a long non-coding RNA of Corapipo altera (White-ruffed manakin), 478 nucleotides long. RefSeq lists it as uncharacterized. The transcript has 3 exons. The record is from RefSeq and is a predicted model, not a curated record. NCBI's taxonomy places the organism in Eukaryota, Metazoa, Chordata, Aves, Passeriformes, Pipridae.
AGAGACCUGAGAAUAAGGCUGCCUUCUCUAUGAGCUAGUGGGGGUGGAGGAAUCCACGACUGAAAUCAUACGUUGGUAAUUGGAAGGCAUUGUAAUACUGUUGUCAUAGUAACAAUGGACUGGAGUGUGAGACAACAGGGCUUUUGUCAAAAGUGACUACAGAAAAUGGUUUGGGACGCACUACCAUAGCAUACACAACUGCAGUGCUCCCUGGUGGACUUUGGCAGAAGGACACGAGGGAAAUGGAUAAAUUUCCAUAUGUGAAGGAUACCUCUUCACUGUGAGAGAUGCCUUUUGAAGAAAUCUGUCUGAGCUGUGUCACUCACCCAUGUGUACCCAACAAAGAAAGGUCUUGGAGUGCAAGGAACCUUGAAAUGAGUGGAUCAUUGAAGAUGCUAUAUGUUGACCUGAUUUGCCUUACAGACUGCUUGUGCUUUUCAAGGACUCUGAAAGCGGGGCUCCUAAUCUGUCACAUGGG